RNAcentral lists this unclassified non-coding RNA (292 nucleotides) under Hevea brasiliensis (rubber tree). Lineage: Eukaryota; Viridiplantae; Streptophyta; Magnoliopsida; Malpighiales; Euphorbiaceae. The record is from RNAcentral.
AAUAAUAAUAAUAAUAAUAAUCCAUUACAAGUCGCAUACAUCAGAGUUCAAAACUUAAAUAUGUGGAGGGAAAUGGGCUGUUAAACUUACGCCCUAACCUCCUAACCACUUGUACAAUAUAAGGGGGAUAGGACAUAGACAUUUGCGAAACUCCUAUCUAGUCUGUUUGCUCAAAUGGGACACGUACGAAAAGUUGUCCAUGCAGGGUCACCACAGCUGAAGUUUGAUGUGGAUCGAUCCUUGAGGGUAAGCUAACCACCUGCCACCAACACAAAAAAAAAAAAAUAAUAAU